UAAAGCACUUUUGUCCGGAAAGAAUCCUUGAUCCUAAUAUUCGGGGGAUGACGGUACCGGAAGAAUAAAAAAAAAAAAACUACGUGCCAGCAGCCGCGGUAAUACGUAGGGUGCAAGCGUUAAUCGGAAUUACUGGGCGUAAAGCGUGCGCAGGCGGUGAUGUAAGACCGAUGUGAAAUCCCCGGGUUCAACCUGGGAACUGCAUUGGUGACUGCAUCGCUUGAGUAUGGCAGAGGGGGGUAGAAUUCCACGUGUAGCAGUGAAAUGCGUAGAGAUGUGGAGGAAUACCGAUGGCGAAGGCAGCCCCCUGGGUCAAUACUGACGUCAUGCACGAAAGCGUGGGGAGCAAACAGGAUUAGAUACCCUGGUAGUCCACGCCCUAAACGAUGUCAACUGGUUGUCGGGUCUUCAUUGACUUGGUAACGUAGCUAACGCGUGAAGUUGACCGCCUGGGGAGUACGGUCGCCAAGAUUAAAACUCAAAGGAAUUGACGGGGACCCGCACAAGCGGUUGGAUGAUGUGGAUUAAAUUCGAUGCAACGCGAAAAACCUUACCUACCCUUGACAUGUACGGAAGUCCGCUGAGAGGUGGAUGUGCCCGAAAGGGAGCCGUAACACAGGUGCUGCAUGGCUGUCGUCAGCUCGUGUCGGGAGUUGGGUUAAGUCCCGCAACGAGCGCAACCCUUGUCCCUAGUUGCUACGCAAGAGCACUCCAGGGAGACUGCCGGUGACAAACCGGAGGAAGGUGGGGAUGACGUCAAGUCCUCAUGGCCCUUAUGGGUAGGGCUUCACACGUCAUACAAUGGUCGGAACAGAGGGUUGCCAAGCCGCGAGGUGGAGCCAAUCCCAGAAAACCGAUCGUAGUCCGGAUCGCA
RNAcentral lists this ribosomal RNA (874 nucleotides) under Burkholderia sp. FL39. RNAcentral describes it as "bacterial SSU rRNA". It matches the Rfam family "Bacterial small subunit ribosomal RNA", at positions 426 to 1302 of the family's 1533-position model. Lineage: Bacteria; Pseudomonadati; Pseudomonadota; Betaproteobacteria; Burkholderiales; Burkholderiaceae. The record is from RNAcentral.